Molecule: transfer RNA, 76 nt
Filed under: Clostridia bacterium
Lineage: Bacteria; Bacillati; Bacillota; Clostridia
Also listed under: 2 other names
Description: tRNA-Val
Rfam family: tRNA
About the family: Transfer RNA (tRNA) molecules are approximately 80 nucleotides in length. Their secondary structure includes four short double-helical elements and three loops (D, anti-codon, and T loops).
Source: RNAcentral
GGGCGCAUAGCUCAGCUGGGAGAGCAUCUGCCUUACAAGCAGAGGGUCAUAGGUUCGAGCCCUAUUGCGCCCACCA